This 39139-nucleotide long non-coding RNA is filed under the name Gossypium raimondii (Peruvian cotton). Its description in RNAcentral is "long non-coding RNA (GRAI_LNC008929)". The record is from RNAcentral. Lineage: Eukaryota; Viridiplantae; Streptophyta; Magnoliopsida; Malvales; Malvaceae.
UAUUUCAUCUGGUUUUGGAGUUCUACUAAAGGAGCAAGGAAUGAGAGGCUUCUUCCGUGGUUGGGUUCCUACCCUUCUUGGUUACAGCGCACAGGGUGCUUGCAAGUUUGGAUUCUAUGAGUUCUUCAAGAAGUACUAUUCUGACCUUGCUGGACCUGAAUACUUUGCCAAGUACAAGACUCUCAUCUAUCUUGCCGGCUCUGCAUCUGCUGAGGUGAUUGCUGAUGUUGCACUUUGCCCCUUUGAGGCAGUCAAGGUCAGGGUUCAAACCCAGCCUGGUUUUGCUAGGGGUCUGUCUGAUGGUCUUCCCAAGUUUGUCAGAUCUGAAGGUGCUCUCGGGUAUGCUCCUAUGCGCUAUGUUAAAUUUUCCUUUUAAAUAAUACAAGGAACGUCUGUCAGAAUGAGCUUUUAACUAUUUCCCUUUGCAGAUUGUACAAGGGUAUUGUUCCUCUUUGGGGCCGACAGAUUCCAUGUAAGUUUUCCAUGUACAGUUUGCUGAGUACUGCCUUUAUUAUCAUUUAUCAUUGCUUGGGAACUUGUACUUUUAUUUGGUCAUGCCUUAUUUUCCCUUUCCUUCUUCUCUCUAACCCACUUUUUCUGUUCAUAGUUCUAGCAUUUGCUAAGUGCAGCAAAGUGUAAGAUGUAUUUGUUUGAUCUUUCUUUGUUUCAGAUACCAUGAUGAAAUUUGCUUCUUUUGAAACUAUUGUUGAGAUGAUCUACAAGUAUGGUAUUCCCACUCCCAAGGAGCAGUGCAGCAAAAAUCUGCAGCUUGGUGUUAGUUUUGCUGGUGGUUAUGUUGCUGGUGUCUUCUGUGCUAUUGUUUCGCAUCCUGCUGACAACCUUGUCUCCUUCCUUAACAAUGCCAAAGGAGCAACUGUUGGGGAUGUAAGUUCUGUGCCUUGGAUGAUCCGUUUGAUAUUUAAUUCUCAUUUAUGAAGCAGUUUUUUUUUACUUUACCUUGACCCUUUUACUAUCUCUUGGCAAUGUAGGCUGUGAAGAAGCUUGGAUUAUGGGGUCUGUUUACCCGUGGUCUUCCCCUCCGUAUUGUGAUGAUUGGAACUCUAACUGGAGCACAGUGGGGUAUCUAUGAUGCUUUCAAAGUGUUUGUGGGGCUGUAAGUUCUUCCCAGCACUAGACUCGGUUAAUAUACAUGCUUUUGUGGUUUAUGCUAAUGUUUUUUCUGCAAUCCUUCAGGCCAACUACUGGUGGUGUUGCUCCUGUGCCUGCUGCUGUGGAGCUUGCCAAGGUAUAGAAUGUUGGAAAACCUGUUGUCAUGGGGGACAAGUAAACAUAGGAUUGCUGGAAUGGUUUGUCAAGCUGGUGGAAGGAUAUUCUUUUUUGCGUUGAGAACAUUUUUAUCAAGUCGCUCUGUUUUGAAAAAAACUGUUGGUUUUAGGAGGAUGGUUUUGAUCUCAUCCUCCAAACUACGGAGACUAAUUAUUUUUGUAGUAGUUAGAUCAUAAAUGAAAUUUCAUUUGAAGAUCAAUCCCCCCCUUCUGUAACAGUUAAAAAUAAGGAGCAGAUGCAGAUGGGGACGAUACUGCCUACUUUACCUUUUUAAGCAAGCUUUUAAUGUAAUAUUGAGAACUUUUGUUCGGCUUUCUUUUAGUAAGGCAUCUCACUCUCUCUCUCUGCAAAAAAAUAUUUAUUACAUUUUUAGAUAUAUUUCAUGGAGGUUACAAGUAGGGGUGAGCAUUCGAUCGAAUCGAAUCGAAAAUUUUCGAGUUAAUCGAGUUUUUGAAUCUCAUUUUAUCAUCUUAAUUUUAUUUGAAGUUUUUUCGAAUCGAGUCGAGUGAAAUGAAAUUCGAAUCGAAUAUAUUUGUUCGAGUUGAAUUUAAAAAAAUAAUUUUGGGUCCUUGUAACCAUUGUCAUCCAUCGUAAUAAAAUUUGUCCACAUUAAUCAAAUUUUUUAUUAGCUUUCAUCACUUCAUAAUUUAUUUAUUAAUUUUUUAUAUAUUGGUUAACUUCUUUGCUUACUUAGUUGUUUCAAUUAUCUUCAGAUUCUUGUUACUAUGUAUUUUAGAAUUAAAAAAUAUAUUAAAUGUAAAAAUAUGAUUUUUUUAAUAAAAAUAUUUUAAAAAUAAAAUUUGAAAUUAAUACCAAUAUAAAAUUUUAACACGAAUAUUUUAUGACAUAAUUAAUAAUUCAAUUUUAAUAUAAAUAUUCAAUAUGACUAAAUAAUUCAAUAAUAUAAAUAAUAUAAAAUGUGAAGUUUAAUUUAAUAAUAUAAAUAGUAGAUAUAAAUAAAAUUAUUACUAUUUAUGUUUAGUGAUUUUUUUUGGAUAAUUUUGAUUUUUUAUUUGAGAGUAAAGGGUGAGAAGUAAAAGUUUAGGGGAAAAAUAAAAAGUCUUGGGGAAUAAAAGUUUGAGGGAAAGUAAAUAGGGGGAGUACAAAUUUGGAGGGAAAAUAUUAAAAAAAAUUGAAGGAGGGAGGGUUUGAGAUAAAUGGGAGGUGGGAUGGGAAGGGAAUAAAAGUUUUAAGGGAAAAGUGGGAGGGAGUAAAAAUUUUGGAGGAAAAUAAAAUGUUUUGAGGGUUUUUGGGAGUAAAAUUUUGAGAAAAAAUAAAUGAGAGUAAAAUUUUGGUGGGAAAUAGAUUUUGGGUAGAUUGGGGGUGUAAUACCCGAUUUUGGCCCGAGUAAAAUGGCCCAAAUACAACAAAAUUACAAACGGGCCACAAAGCCCAAAACCAAAUUCAGUGGCCCAAAUUCAGUGGCCCAAACCAAACAUGGCUCGAAACAGACAGAAACCCUAGGGUUUCCCACAGCGCCGCAAGCCUCCAAAUCAGCCCCGAUCUUCACCUGCACGAAAAUGGAAACAAACAGUAUACGAAAAUAAAAUCAGAGAUUUGCAAAUCAAAUCAAAAGAAAAUAUAUAUUGUUUCUUCUUUUAUUCUUUUUCAUAUGGCUAUAUAAAGCUAUUGUUAAGACUAUAAAAAGGAUCGGAUUUUGGGGGAAAAAUCAAUAAAAAGCACUAUUCUUUACAACACAAGCAGAGAAAAAACGAAAUCUAAGGUUGUUUUUUUUUAUUCUGUUAUUUAUUUAUUAGUUAUUAUUUGUUUAUACACUUUUACAAAAUAAAAUAAAGAAGGGAAACGCACCGACGUUAGGGUCUGUCGCGCCGUUGGAAGGCUGAGGUCCGUCUCCGAGGACAGACGGUCAGAAGUCAAAAGGCUUCUAGUUUUUUUUUCGUCGGUUUCCAAAGGAUUUGAGCCCCGAUCUAUACCUGGAUAGGUUGGGAGGACCGAAUAGGAAAUUUUCCCUUUUCCGGCCACCGCACACGGCGGUGCCGGCGCCGGAGAUCGGCGGCCGACGUGGUGGCUGGUGACCGGCCGGUGGUCGGACUAGAGGACCGGUGCCAGGAGAAGUAGGGAGGAUUUUUGAGAUUUUUUUAAGUUUUUUUUGUAAGGAAUGAAAAAUGAAAUUUUUGACUGAAAUUUGGCUUAAAUAGGCCAAUCAAAACGGCGCCGUUUUGAGGGGAGGAUCCGCGCGUCGACCCGACCCGGACCCAGGAUCCGCGUGUUUUUAUGCGGAGGGGCAAAUUGCACUUUUAGCCCCUCCGCCUUUAAAUGUCUUUAUAAUUAGGUUUUUUUUUAUUUUUUAAUUCGCUCUUUAAUUUAUUUUAAUUUCAAUUUAACCCUUCCUGAACGACACCGUUUUAGAGGAGAAGGGAAAAUUGCCCUUCCAGCCCCUCUAUGUAAUUCGCGCGUUCAAUUUGGUACUCCAGACUUCAUUUAUUUGCGGAUUCACCCCUGAUUUUUUUACUUGCUACCCAAUUUAGUCAUUUUUUUCCAUAUUUUUUUCUUAAAAUCAAUAUUUCUAAUAUUUUUUUUAAAUAUAUAUGUAUAUUUGCUGUUUUAUGUACAUAUUUUUAACGAAUGUUUUUAUAUAUACAUAUAUUUUAUUUUUAUGACAAUUUUUUUAUAUAUAUUUUUACGUAUAUGUAUAUAUUUAGUUUUUUUUAAAACAAAUAUUCUUUUAUGUCAAUAAACACGCAUAUAUCUAUUUUUUUAUUUCUAAAAAUGCCUAAAUACCUAUUUAUUUUUUUAACACAUAUUUUAUAUGUAUAUAUAUAUUUUUUAAAUACAUUGUAUAUUUUAUAUAAACUUUAUAAUCUAGAAUUCUACAUGUAAAUUCAUAUAUAUGCCUCUUAUUCCUCAUAAUUUCAAUAUAUAUUAUAAACUUUUUAUUCUUUAUUUAUUUUGUUUGUUUUCUUCAUUCGCUAUUUUUAUUACAUUCUUGUUUUUUUAUUUAUUUUGCAUAUUUAUGUGAUAUUUUAUAUGUCAUUAGUUAUUUUUGCCUUUAUAUUAAUUUUAUUUGUUUACUAUUCAUGUUAUUACACCAUUGAUGUAUUUAUUAUGGUACUUGUUUUGUAACAAUUAUGCAUACGUUCAAUUUAACAUUACAUGUUUUACUCGAUUUUUUUUUUAAAAAAUCAAUCAAACUCUUUCAAAAUGGAUAUUCUUUAAAUCAAAAUAAACUCAUUAUUGGGAAUUCAACACGUUCUGUCCUAACGUAUUGGAUGUGACGUAUUGAUUUCUCGAAAUGAAGAUUUUUUUUAAAAAAAAUCAUGAAGGAAAUAUUCCGAGUUUGAGAUUCUAAAGGAAUUGUGCCCUAACGUAUUGGGUGUGAUUUCUUAAAUCUUGGAUAAGUGGAUGUUCUUUUAAAGUAAAGGAAAUAUUCCGAGUUUGGGAUUCUAAAGGGGUCGUGCCCUAACGUAUUGAGUGUGAUUUCUUAAAUCUUGGAUGAGUGGAUGUUCUUUUAAAGUUUUAUUGCAUAAGUAUUCUGACCUAAUUCAUUUUGGAGGAAAUUAGAAUGUUGUGCCCUAACGUAUUGGGUGUGGCAUUUUUGCUUCUUUGAAUUGAAAAGGGUUUUAAUAUGCAACGUUUUAAGUUUUUUUAAAAGAUUAUAUUUUUAAAAUUUUCGACCUUAAGACUUUAAUUAAUUAACUAGGUACCAAUUUUUGGGCGUAGUGAGGGUGCUAAUCCUUCCUCAUACGUAACCGACUCUCGGACCCGUUUUUCUAAAAUUCGUAGACCAAAGUCGUUUUAGGUGACCUAAUCACACCUUAAUAAAAGAUUGGUGGCGACUCCCGAAUUUUCAUUUUUUUAAAGUCGACAACCUAAAAUUUUUGUUUUUUUUCAAAAAAUAGUUUCGACAGCUUGGCGACUCCGCUGGGGACUUUUAAAAAAAAAUAAGAGAGUCGAGCCACAAAGUUAUUAACUUUUGUCUUAUGGUCGAGAAAAUAUUUUUUAAAAAAACUCAAAACAUCCUUUUGCAUUCAUUAUCUUCUUGUUUAAACAUUGUUUGCAUUAUACAUUUCAUGAGUUGAACAAUGUUGCCCUUUUUAAGUGGGAGUGAGAAACUAUGCCUUCGUGAGGUUUUUACCUCCGUGUAGGAUAGUGGAUUGCUUUCGGGAUACAUCCGUACCUAUGUCUUCGUGAGAUUUGUCAUCUCCGUGCAGCCAUAGGGAAAUGUAUUCCCUUGAACUGAACUCGGUCCAUAUGAGCCUAUAAUGGGUAAGGAUUGAGGAAUCUGCUAGUUCGGGUACCUUUACUCUAGAAGCCAAACCUCAUAUAAUGAACCUUAGGAAUCCACCUUAAGUAGAAUCAUACUAAACCCUAGUAGACAUCCAAUUAGGGAUCUUUAUUAUUUCUUGAUUAUAUCUUGUGUUUCUAUGUUAUACUGACUUUUGGUGUUUUAUUUGCAUGACAUGACAUUUCAUUUCAUCAUAAAAGGCGUCAAUUCAAAUUCAGUUGCUAGAAAUAAGGCUUAACAUAAAAAGCGGGUUUCUUGAUAAAGUGGAGGACAAUGCGACCGUUCGAACUUGGUCUGAAACAACGCAGCAAGAAAAGGGUGAUAGUUUGGCUGAUGGGCAUGUAUCGGAGUUAUGGGACUUUACGCAUAUCAAUGCAACUCAAAACAAUUUGCAAGAAUUGAAGGAAAUCUGGGGUCAGUGGAGCGAUGAGGUUAGACAACUCUUUUAUGAUAAUUAUGGGGAUUUGCCUUAUUUGCUUGAUGUGAAGGUAGACAAGCGUUUGUUUCAAGCCCUGGCCCAAUUCUGGAAUCCUGCUUACAGUUGCUUUACGUUAGGGAAGGUCGAUUUAGUACCCACAAUAGAGGAGUAUAUGACUUUACUCCGUUGUUCAAAGUUUCAAGUGGACAGGGUCUAUUCGAGAGCAGUAAAUGUGCCAACCUUUUUCAAGAAACUGAUGAGUGUAACAGGAAUGAGCGAGCAGUGGGUUGUCGCACGAAUUGAGCAAAAGGGGGACAGUAAGUGCGUUCCUUGGAGAGGCUUGAAAGAUGCAAUCCUCACACACCCAGAUGUCAGGAAAAGGUUAGAUGUUUUUGCUUUAAGUAUAUAUGGCUUGGUUGUCUUCCCUAAAGCCUUGGGUUAUGUGGAUGAAACAGUCACUGAUUUAUUCGAUCGGCUCGAUAAGAAAGUUACACCGAUUCCAGCAAUUUUGGCAGAAACUUUCAGGUCAUUGAGUGCAUGCCAGAAGACAGGUGAAGGUAGAUUUAUUGGAUGUGCACAGCUUCUACUCGCGUGAUUUCACAGUCACUUUUAGAAGGUGGAUAAAGUAUCGUAUCGGGUUUUCUCUGAAAAUUAUUCACCACUAAAGGAGAUAGUCGCGACGCCCAGGAGAGACGACAUUUCGAAGGAGAAGUGGAUAGCAAUUCUUCAAAAUCUUCGAGAGGAGGACAUUGAGUGGAGAGCUCAUUGGUUACUUCCAGAUGAGGUCCUGUAUAGGUGUGGUAGUUUUGAUUGGGUUCCUUUGCUAGGGGUUUGGGGAGCUACUGGAUACGCCCCAUUAUUGGUACUAAGGCAAUAUAGGUCAAGGCAAUUUAUACCUGCGACCCAAGGGAUAGCUAAUUGUGAAUUUUCGUACAAGGAUGAUGGUUAUAGAAAGAAGAUUCAAGAGAUGGCUAGUGCGUGGAAACAAACUUGCCGAAUGAAGAGGCUAGCUGUGGGUCCAAUGUCAACUCCUGAAUAUCAUCAAUGGUGGGCUAGAAGGAUUAAUGAUAAUACACCUAAGUUAAAUCAGGAAGAAAGCCAGUCAAUAGAAGAGCAUUUGCGAGUCAUUCCUUCUGAGUUGGAGAUUAUAAAACAAGAUUUUGAAAGGAGAAAUGCAGAGUUGGAGAAAAAGAUAGAGCAAACGGAGAUGGAAAAGAUGAACUUAAGAUUGGAUAUAGAUGUUCAGAAGCUUAAAAAUGAAAAGUUAAAGAAAGAGAAAAGCAGGGCUGAGGAUGAGCUGGGUAGUCUGAAGACGGAUUAUAAAAAAAUACGUUUGUCAAUGAGAACUGCUGGGCUGGGAAAGACAUCAGAGCAGUGGCGAGCAGAAAUCCAAGGAGAAAAUGACAAGGCCGAUAAGUGGGAACAGAGAUUUCAAGAAAUGCAAAGGCGAAAUGAGACCUUAGAAAAGAGUUUGUCAGAAAGCCAGAAGGAAAAUGGUGAGUUAAAGGAUAGGGUGAUUAUAUUGGAAAGAUCUCUUCGUCAGUAUAGAAGCCGAAAUUCUGCGAUAGAGUUAAAAGCUAGCUUGAGCAAGAUUGAAGAAAUGGAGAAAAGAAUUGAAGAGUUAGAGACGGAGCUGCAAAAUUGUGAGAUCUAGAUCAAGCACUUGAAAGCAAACGAGAGUCAUAGUAAUGAACAGCUUCACCAUUUUCAGAAUCAAGUUAGAAGCAGAGAUCAUCUUAUCGAGAAAGCUGUAGUCCAGAUUCGAGAAGUAGCUGACCAUAUACAGACUUUAGCAGUACAAGCUGACACGCUGAGUGUGAAGUAUGAAUUAGAGUCAGAUCGGGGGCAAGAAUUGGCUUUGUUACUUAGAAAGAUUAGAGUUCUGGGUACUAGGGCAAAGUCGUAUUUGUAAUUCAUUUUAUGUAAAGGAAUUUAAUUUCUAGUAAAGUUUUCUUAUAUGGAAUUGAAUUCAAAUUGACGCCUUUUCUGCAUUCAUUUCAUGCAUUGCAUUGUUUCAUAUGCAUUGAUAAAUACAUUAAGGGAUUCUAAUUAAUCUAAAUCACUCCUCAGCUAAUCUGGAAACCAACCAACCUACCAAGCACCACUACGGUACUCGAUCAAAAACUAAGGAUAUGGAUCAAAGAAUGGAAAGAUUAGAACAAACUCAAAAGGAAAUGCAGGAGCUGCUUCAAAAGCAAAUGAAUGAGCAGCAAAAGAUGAUAGACAAAAUGAUGGAGUCUCAAGGGAGUAUGAUGGCUCAGUUAACUCAGUGGUUCAAUAAAGGAACUGAUAAAGGAAAGAGUUCUGUGCUCAAUAUUGAAGAAGGAGAGAAUGAGAGACUUGUCUAUCCUCCGGACUUUACACCCCAACAAGUUGAGAUGUACCCGCGAAGGUCCUCUGUUACCAUUAAUCCUUCGGGUGAUGCUGUAACGCAAAUGAAUUUCCAGAUGGGAUCAGGUUCUAACCCCGGUGCCAAUUUUGCUAAUCCUGCUAUUUCUGAUUUUGAUGAGACGGUUGGAAAAGAAAAAAUAAAUGAUGAAUUAUCAAAGCAGCUCGAGGAAAGAUAUAAAUGGCUGGAGGAAAAAAUUAAAGCAAUAGAAGUUACUGAGAGCUACCACGGAGUUGAUGCUAGAGAAUUGAGCUUGGUUCCAGGUCUAGUACUUCCUCACAAGUUCAAAACGCCAGAGUUCGAGAAGUACAAUGAGACUAGUAGCCCCGAAGCAUAUAUUACUAUGUUCUGCAAGAGGAUGACUGGAUAUGUUAAUAAUGACCAGUUGCUGAUACAUUGCUUCCAGGAUAGCCUCACGGGGGCAGCAUCCAGGUGGUACAAUCGAUUGAACCGUACCCAGAUUAAUUCAUGGAGAGAUCUAGCGCAGGUAUUCUUGAAACAGUACAGCCAUGUGACUGACAUGGUACCUGAUAGAAUUACUCUGCAGAACAUAGAGAAGAAGCCUGGUGAAAGUGUCAGGUAGUACGCACAGAGAUGGAGGGAGGUUGCUGUCCAAGUUCAGCCAUCUCUGCUAGAAAGAGAGAUGACGAUGCUUUUCGUCAACACAUUGAAGGCACCAUUUAUUACACAUAUGUUAGGAAGCGCUACUAAAAGUUUUUCCGACAUAGUUAUGAAUGGUGAGAUGAUAGAAAACGCUAUCAGAAGUGGGAAAAUAGAUGCUGGAGAAAAUAGCAGAAGAACGGCCUCGAAGAAGAAAGAGAAUGAUGUUAACAACACGAGUUCAUAUUCGAAGACAGUUACAGUGAAUCAGCCGGGAAAAGUGGCUAUUAACCAGCAGAGAUUAUCAAAACAGAGAUCUGACACAAGACAAAACACAGAGAAGCUUCAAUUUACGCCAAUCCCAAUGUCGUAUAGGGAGCUAUAUCAGAAUCUAUUCAAUGCACACGUGGUUGUCCCUCACCAUUUAAAACCCCUGCAACCUCCAUAUCCCAAGUGGUACGAUGCGAACGCACAGUGCGAUUAUCACGCGGGAAUUGUGGGGCAUUCUAUAGAACAUUGUACGGAAUUCAAGAUGCUGGUAGAAAGGCUUAUAAGCAUGGGCGUGGUAAAAUUAGAUGAUUCACCCAAUACAGAAAAUCCAUUACCUGAUCACAACGGAGUGAACAUGAUAGGUGGGAGCAUGGGUAGAAAGAUCAAGGAAGACAUAUCGGAGGUGAAAAUUCCUUUGAGGUGGGUCUAGAAAAAUAUGGUGAAAAGGGAAUUGAUCAUCCCGAGUUCAGAGAGAAGCGUUGAAGGGGUGGAAAAUUACUGUGAGUUCCAUUACGAGGAAGGACAUAAAAUCCAAGAAUGCGCAGAAUUCAGAGCUUUGGUUCAAGACUUGAUGGAUAACAAGGAGAUGGAGUUUUAUGAAGAAGUUAAGGAAGAGGGGAGCAUUUGCACAUCAGAGGCUCCGAAGGUUCCAAGAAUAGUGCAGCCUGUGGUCAUUAUCUCACGACCCAAGAAGGAUGAGGUGAGAGCACCAGCAAUACCAAAAAUCAUAAUAAAAAAACCUGCAGUCUUUCUUUACCAAGACAGUAAGAAGGUCCCAUGGAACUACGAGUGCAAUACGACUGUCCUAGGAAGUGAGGCGGCAAAGAGCCAGUAUGUGAGUACCAAUCCAGAGUCUAUGAAAGAGGCUAUAAUGAGGGAGCAAAAAGGGAAAAUAGUUGAGCCAGUGAAGGGGGAAGAAGCUGUGGAAUUCCUUAAAAUUUUAAAACAUAGCGAGUAUAAUGUCGUUGAACAGUUGCAUAAACAACCGGCCCGCAUAUCUGUACUGUCCUUGCUCUUGAAUUCCGAAGUGCAUCAAAAUACGUUGAUGAAGAUGCUAAAUGAGACCUAUGUGUCCAAGGAUAUUUCUGUCAGUAAGCUGGACCGGUUGGUCAAUAAUAUCAGUGCUGAUAAUUUCAUAUUUUUCAAUGAUGAUGAAAUACCUUCGGGGGGCAUGGGAUCUACCAAGGCUUUGCAUAUCACUGCAUGAUGCAAGGGGCGUAUUUUGCCAGGAGUAUUGAUUGACAAUGGAUCAGCUUUGAACAUACUACCGUUAUUCACACUUAACAGGCUACCUAUAGACAGUUCGCACAUGAAAACGUGUCAAAAUGUAGUGAGGGCAUUUGACGGUACAGAAAGGAAGGUCAUGGGAAGAAUUGAGGUACCCUUACUGAUUGGUCCAACAGUUUAUGAGGUAGAUUUUAUUGUGAUGGACAUCAAACCUUCCUAUAACUGCUUAUUAGGAAGACCAUGGAUACAUUCGGCAGGGGCAGUUUCGUCAUCAUUACAUCAGAUGUUGAAGUUAGUGUCAGAUGGUCGGCUAGUGACAUUAAAAGCCGAAGAGGAUAUAAUAGCAACUGUAUCCAAUGAGAUGCCGUACGUGGAGACCAAUGACGAGUUAGUUGAAUGCUCAUUUCAAUCUUUGGAGUUUGUAAAUACGGCAUUUGUUUCUGAAGGGAGCAAAAUUAUGGCUCCAAAAUUAUUCAAAACCACAGAGAUGGGUUUACAAUUGUUGGUAGGAAAAGGAGCUUUACCCGGAAGAGGGCUGGGGAGAUAUCUGCAAGGGAAGACUGAGGCUCCAAUGCUGAAAGAAAAGCAAGAUCAUUUUGGCUUAGGAUACAAGCCGGAUAGAAGACAAAUAAGGAAUGAGAUAGAAAAAAGGCAGGAAAGAAGAAGGGCGCGUUUGAAAGGGGAGGAAGCUAAGUGGGAGCCAAUGAUAAUUCCCCACAUAUCCAAAACUUUUGUAUCCGGAGGGAUCAUUCAUCAGGAGAGAAAGAAAUCGGUUGAGGAAGGCAUCGAGGAGACAUUGGGAAAUAUGUACAUUAACGCAAUUCAUGAGCUUGGGAAGGAAGAGGAAAGUUGGCUAGACAUUCGUCCUUAUGAGCCUGGGAGUGUUCUAGACAAUUGGACUACGGAAGAAAUACCUAAAGUUUUUAGAAUUAUCUCAGAGUAAUAUUCAGAACAAACUUGUUGUUUUAGCCUAGAAAUAACAAGAAUUCUUUUGUGAAAUAGGCUUAUGUUUAGAAAUUAUUAUUUUAAUAAAAUACAUCUUUGCAAGUAUGUCGAGUAAAUAUUCUUUCAUUCUUCCAUACGCCUAAAAUAUAUUCUUUUAUUACAUAAAUAAAUUAUACAUAAAUUCAUACAUUCUCUUGUAACCAUAAUAGGUCUUUGUGUAUCAAUGACGUGAACGACACUACUACGAGCUCAAAGUGCCUUUUUGAACAAAACGUGUGUUUAGAGGGAUCGCACGACUUUGAAGGUGAUGAAGAGGGUGGUUUAUCUUUGGAUUUUUUGAGGAUGGUGGAACAAGAGGAAAAGCAAAUCCUACCUCACAAAGAGACAGUAGAAGUUGUGAGCCUGGAAGAAGGGAAAGAGGUGAAAAUUGAAACUAAAAUCCUCGCAAAAACAAGACGAGACCUCAUUAGAUUACUUCAUGAAUUUAAAGAUGUCUUAGCAUGGUCAUACCAGGAUAUACCGGUAUUGAGUGCUGACAUUGUAGUGCAUCGCUUACCUAUAAAAGAGGAUUGCAAACCAGUUCAGCAGAAGCUCAGAAGAAUGAGGCCUGAUAUUGUGCUCAAAAUAAAAGAGGAGGUUAAGAAACAGUUUGAUGCUGGUUUUUUGCAGGAAGUCAAAUAUUCUGAGUGGGUAGCUAAUAUCGUUCCAGUCCCUAAGAAAGAUGGAAAAGUACGAAUGUGCAUCGAUUACAGGGAUUUGAACAAAGCAAGCCCAAAGGACAACUUUCCAUUGCCACAUGUUGAUACGCUGGUGGAUAAUACGGCGGGAUUUUUAUUGUUUUCUUUUAUGGAUGGGUUCUCAGGAUAUAAUCAGAUAAAAAUGCAUCCAGAAGAUAUGAGAAAGACUACGUUCAUUACUUUAUGGGGAACGUUUUGCUAUAAGGUGAUGCCAUUUGGAUUAAAGAACGCGGGAGCAACAUAUCAGAGGGCCAUGGUAACCUUGUUCCAUGACAUGAUGCACAAAGAAAUCGAGGUGUAUGUUGAUGAUAUGAUUGCCAAAUCCAGAACAGAGGAGGAACAUGUGCAAGUCUUGAGAAGAUUGUUCUUAAAAUUAAGGAAGUUCCAACUCAAGCUUAAUCCGACAAAGUGCACUUUUGGAGCCAGAUCAGGAAAGCUAUUAGGCUUCGUAGUCAGCGAAAAGGGAAUUGAGAUCGACCCAGACAAAGUCAAAGUAAUACGAGAUUUAUCGCCACCACGUGCCCAGAAAGAAGUUCGAGGUUUCUUGGGAAGACUGAAUUACAUUGCUCGGUUCAUUUCACAGUUGACCGAAAAAUGUGACCCCAUAUUUCACCUUUUGAAGAAACAUAAUCCUGAUGUUUGGAAUGAAGAAUGUCAAAAAGCCUUUGAAAAGAUAAAGUAAUACUUAUCCAAUACCCCAGUACUGUCACCACCCAGCCCGGAUAGACCCUUGAUUUUGUAUUUAACAGUGUUCAGCAACUCCAUGGGAUGCGUGUUAGGUCAACAUGAUGCGACUGGAAAGAAGGAAAAGGCGAUUUACUAUCUGAGCAAGAAAUUCACUGAUUGUGAGAUGAGAUAUUCGCCUAUUGAAAAAUUGUGUUGCGCCUUGAUUUGGACGACCAAGAGGUUGAUGCAAUACUUACUCUAUCAUACGACUUGGUUAAUUUCAAAAUUAGAUCCUUUAAAAUAUAUGAUGGAGUCAACAGCAUUGAAUGGAAGAAUGGCUAGAUGGCAAAUCUUGCUAUCAGAGUUUGAUAUUGUAUAUGUAAGUCAGAAGGCCAUCAAAGAGAGUGCGAUAGCAGAUUUCUUGGCUAGCAGGGCUCUGGAAGAUUAUGAGCCUCUAGACUUUGAUUUUCCGAAUGAAGAUUUGAUGUAUAUGGCAAAUGCUGAAGAGGAUCCCCGAGAGAAUCAUUCUUGGAGAUUAAGCUUUGACGGAGCAUCGAAUGCAUUAGGCAAUGGGAUUGGGGCAGUCUUGGUGUCUCCGAAUGGAGAUUAUCAUCCUUUCACCAGUAAAUUAGACUUUGAUUGCACCAAUAACAUGGCUGAGUAUGAAGCUUGCAUCAUGGGUAUACGGGCAGCCAUAGAACGGAAAAUCAAGACAUUAGAGGUGUACGGAGACUCAAUAUUGGUAAUAUACCAGCUAAGAGGGGAAUGGGAGACGAGAGAUCCUAAAUUGAUCCGUUACCGGAGGUUGGUUUUGGGAUUUAUUGAAGAGUUUGACAACAUUACCUUCUGUUAUCUCCCACGAGAAGAAAAUCAGAUGGCUGAUGCUCUUGCUACUUUAGCUUCCAUGAUUAAAGUGAAUCAGUUAGAGGACAUGAAGCCUAUUCAAAUUAGUAUUUAUGAGAUCCCAGCCCACUGUUACAGCAUUGAGGAAGUAGAGAAUGAUAAUCAUCCUUGGUACCAAGAUAUAUUGCAAUAUGUGAAGAAUAGCGAAUAUCCUGAUCAGGCAACGGAGAAUGAUAAGAGGACAUUAAGGAGGCUAGCUAUUGACUAUGUUUUAGAUGGGGAGAUCCUAUACAAAAGGGGAAAGGAUCGAGUACUAUUAAGAUGCGUGGACGCUGUAGAGGCUAAGGAAAUUUUAGAAGAAGUCCAUGAGGGUGUUUGUGGAACACACGCUAAUGGGUUCACCAUGGCUAGACAGAUUAUAAGAUUCGGGUAUUAUUGGUCCACCAUAGAAGGAGAUUGCAUCAAUCAUGCCAAGAAAUGCCAUAAUUGCCAAAUUUAUGGGGAUAAAAUGCACGCGUCUCCUUCUCCUCUUCACGUCAUGACUUCUCCAUGGCCUUUCUCCAUGUGGGGUAUAGACGUUAUUGGACCAAUAUCACCGAAGGCCUCUAAUGGACAUCGUUUCAUUUUUGUGGUUAUUGAUUACUUCACUAAGUGGGUAGAGGCGGCCUCAUAUGCCAAUAUCACGAAGUCAGCAGUCAGCAAGUUUUUGAAGAAGGAGAUUAUAUGUCGAUAUGGAAUGCCUGAAAGGAUCAUAUCUGACAAUACAUUGAAUCUAAAUAACAGCACAAUAGCGGAAGUCUGCGAUCAGUUCAACAUUAGACACCAUAAUUCAUCACCGUAUCGCCCGAAAAUGAAUGAUGCAGUGGAAGCGGCGAAUAAAAAUAUUAAAAAAUCAUGGCAAAAAUGGCUGAAACUUACAAAGAUUGGCAUGAGAAGUUACCUUUCGCUCUUCUGGCUUACCGAACAUCUGUCAGGACUUCUCUUUGGUUUAUGGAAUGGAUGCAGUGUUACCCAUUGAGGUUGAAAUUCCUUCUCUUCGGGUAUUGGCUGAGUUAAAAUUGGAUGAAACCGAAUGGAUCCAAUCUCGGUAUGAUCAACUGAACCUGAUUGAAGAAAAAAGAUUGAAAGCCAUUCGUCAUGGCCAACUGUAUCAGAAGCGAAUGAUGCGAGCUUACAAUAAGAAGGUUCGUCCCAGAGAAUUUCAUGAAGGGGAUUUGGUUCUGAAAAAAAUCCUCCAUUUACAGAAAGAUUUCAGAGGGAAAUGGAUGCCAAACUGGGAAGGACCUUAUGUUGUGAAGAAGGCUUUUUCUGGAGGCGCUUUGAUUUUGAGUGAAAUGGAUGACAAAAAUCUUCCGAAUCCUGUAAAUUCAGACUCGGUUAAGAAAUAUUUCACUUGAAGAAAGGGAGAAAUCAAAGUGAAAACCCGCAAAGGGCACUCUGAUUUCCAAAAAAAAAAAGAGGCUAAGGUGAAAACCCGAAAAGGGCGCAUUGAGACCAAAGGGGUUUGAGUUGAAAACCCAAAAAGGGCGGCUCAAACAUUAUCAGAUUGGGGCAUAUGGUGACCUUGCUAAAGUCAACAAUAAAGGGAUGUACGACGUCUUGGGGGAAUUAACAAAGUACUGUAGAUCCGCUAAACACAUGUUAAAUUCAGAAUGGUUCUUGGCUUGUAUGGAGAAGUUCAAGCGGCGAUAUCCAAAGCACCUAGUCUUCAUAUUAUUUGUACCAAGUUUGUUGGUUCUUGUAAAUACUUCAUUCUUUGCUGUUCUUGAAUAUUUUUUCUUUUCAAGACACUUACUAUCAAUAAAUUCCUGAAUUAAUUCAUCUCUUACUCAGUAUUUUUGAUCUUUGCACAAGCAUGUUGCAUUAGAAUAAUGAUUGAUGGACUAAUUAACUUUUACAAAAGAAGUUUGGUAUAUUAGUCUAGGAAUUUUUAAAUCAUUUAGUAACUUAAAACAGGACUAUUGUUUAGAACACUCCGAGGUCAAAAGAUAAGGAGGCUAAGGAGGAAAAAAUCUAAAUUAAGACUGCUUCGGUUGUCUAAAUAGCAAAUGAGAUAGUAGGAGGUUUUGCUGGGGUAGGAAGAAGUUCCCUAUGGAUAAAAAGCUCAUCAUUUGGGCAUAAGCAUUUGAUAGGACACCUUGAGAGUAAACAAAUUUCGUAAUCUGUAUCCUUGAAUUGUGAUAGGAGAAGAUUGAAGAAAAGCCAUAUACCCUUGGGUUACAGUGGGAGAACGAUGGUCUGAAUUUUUUCACCCUAAUGGAUUAAACUUUAAAGUUUACAGUGGGGGCAACCUAGCUAAAUGUUUCUUCAGAAAAAACCAGUCAAGUAAGAAGGCGUUGUAGCACGUCAGUCACAAAGCCUUAAUAAACUUUGAGUAAUGACAACUUGAGCGGGAUCAUUCUCGGAGAAAUAAAAUUUUGCAUUCAUGCAAACAUCAUUCAUACAUACCUAGUUAGGAGCAUUUGAUUUAUUCUGAUCAUGACAUCCUAAUCACUAGGCAUAUUUAGGUUUAUAAAAUGAAUUAUACAGGCCAUGUUCCACAGAGGACAAACUGGUGAAACACCAAGCUUUGUCUCCCUGAGCAGCAGUGGAGAAGGGUGAAGAUUAUAGAUAUUGUCUCCCUAAGCAGUAGUGGAGCAGAUCGAAGACGGCGAAUCUUAUCUUUCCAAGAUAGUGGGAAGCAGAUUUAAGCCACCAAGCCUUAUCUCCCUGAGCAGCAGUGGAGAAGGGUGAAGAUUAUAGAUCUUGUCUCCCUAAGCUGUAGUGGAGCAGAUCAAAGACGGCGAAUCUUAUCUUUCCAAGAUAGUGGGAAGCAGAUUUAAGCCACCAAGCCUUAUCUUCCUGAGCAGCAGUGGAGAAGGGUGAAGAUUAUAGAUCUUGUCUCCCUAAGCAGUAGUGGAGCAGAUCGAAGACGGCGAAUCUUAUCUUUCCAAGAUAGUGGGAAGCAGAUUUAAGCCACCAAGCCUUGUCUCCCUGAGCAGCAGUGGAGAAGGUUGAAGAUUAUAGAUCUUAUCUCCCUAAGCAGUAGUGGAGCAGAUCGAAGACGGUGAAUCUUAUCUUUCCAAGAUAGUAGGAAGCAGAUUAGAGCCACCAAGCCUUGUCUCUCUGAGUAGCAGCGGAGAAAAUUGAAGAUUGUAGAUCUUAUCUCCCUAAGCAGUAGUGGAGCAGAUCGAAGAUGGCAAAUCUUAUCUCCCUGAAGUUGCAGUGGAGGAGAUUAAAGCCGACAAUCCUAUCUCCCUGAAGUUGCAGUGGGAUGGAUUAAAAUCACAGAUCUUAUCUCUCUGAAGUUGCAGAGAGCAGAAUUCAUCUAGUCUUAUCUCCCUGAAGUUACAGUGAGGUAGAUUGAAGUUGGCACUAAUUCCUAUACUUUUGAAGAAGAUACCAAGGUUCAGUAUGUCUGGGCAAAAUCGGGCAUUUUUAAAGUCUUUGCUUCAUUCUCGUUACACGACAAUGAGCAAAGAGGGGCAGCUGUAAUACACAAUUUUGGCUCGAGUAAAAAGGCCCAAAUACAACAAAAUUACAAACGGGCCACAAAGCCUAAAACCAAAUUUAGUGGCCCAAAUUCAGUGGUCCAAACCAAACAUGGCUCGAAACAGACAGAAACCCUAGGGUUUCCCACAGCGCCGCAAGCCUCCAAAUCAGCCCCGAUCUUCACCUGCACGAAAAUGGAAACAAACAGUAUACGGAAAUAAAAUCAGAGAUUUGCAAAUCAAAUCAAAAGAAAAUAGAUAUUGUUUCUUCUUUUAUUCUUUUUCAUAUGGCUAUAUAAAGCUAUUGUUAAGACUGUAAAAAGGAUCGGAUUUUGGGGGAAAAAUCAAUAAAAAGCACUAUUCUUUACAACACAAGCAGAGAAAAAACGAAAUCUAAGGUUGUUUUUUUUAUUCUGUUAUUUAUUUAUUAGUUAUUAUUUGUUUAUACACUUUUACAAAAUAAAAUAAAGGAGGGAAAUGCACCGACGUUAGGGUCUGUCGCGCCGUUGGAAGGCUGAGGUCCGUCCCCGAGGACAGACGGUCAGAAGUCGAAAGGCUUCUAGUUUUUCUUUUUCGUCGGUUUCCAAAGGAUUUGAGCGCCGAUCUAUACCUGGAUAGGUUGGGAGGACCAAAUAGGGAAUUUUCCCUUUUUCGGCAACCACACACGGCAGUGCCGGCGCCGGAGAUCGGCGGCCGGCGUGGUGGCUGGUGACCGGCCGGUGGUCGGACUAGAGGACCGGUGCCCGGAGAAGUAGGGAGGAUUUUUGAGAUUUUUUUAAGUUUUUUUUGUAAGGAAUGAAAAAUGAAAUUUUUGACUGAAAUUUGGCUUAAAUAGGCCAAUCAAAACGGCGCCAUUUUGAGGGGAGGAUCCGCGUGUUUUUAUGCGGAGGGGCAAAUUGCACUUUUAGCCCCUCCGCCUUUAAAUGUCUUUAUAAUUAGGUUUUUUUUUAUUUUUUAAUUCGCUCUUUAAUUUAUUUUAAUUUCAAUUUAACCCUUCCUGAACGACACCGUUUUAGAGGAGAAGGGAAAAUUGCCCUUCCAGCCCCUCUAUGUAAUUCGCGCGUUCAAUUUGGUACUCCAGACUUCAUUUAUUUGCGGAUUCACCCCUGAUUUUUUUACUUGCUACCCAAUUUAGUCCUUUUUUCCAUAUUUUUUUCUUAAAAUCAAUAUUUCUAAUAUUUUUUUAAAUAUAUAUGUAUAUUUGCUGUUUUAUGUACAUAUUUUUAACGAAUGUUUUUAUAUAUACAUAUAUUUUAUUUUUAUGACAAUUUUUUAUAUAUAUUUUUACGUAUAUGUAUAUAUUUAGUUUUUUUUAAAACAAAUAUUCUUUUAUGUCAAUAAACACGCAUAUAUCUAUUUUUUUAUUUCUAAAAAUGCCUAAAUACCUAUUUAUUUUUUUAACACAUAUUUUAUAUGUAUAUAUAUAUUUUUUAAAUACAUUGUAUAUUUUAUAUAAACUUUAUAAUCUAGAAUUCUACAUGUAAAUUCAUAUAUAUGCCUCUUAUUCCUCAUAAUUUCAAUAUAUAUUAUAAACUUUUUAUUCUUUAUUUAUUUUGUUUGUUUUCUUCAUUCGCUAUUUUUGUUACAUUCUUGUUUUUAUUUAUUUUGCAUGUUUAUGUGAUAUUUUAUUUGUCAUUAGUUAUUUUUGCCUUUAUAUUAAUGUUAUUUGUUUACUAUUCAUGUUAUUACACCAUUGAUGUAUUUAUUAUGGUACUUGUUUUGUAACAAUUAUGCAUACGUUCAAUUUAACAUUACAUGUUUUACUCGAUUUUUAAAAAAAAAAUCAAUCAAACUCUUUCAAAAUGGAUAUUCUUUAAAUCAAAAUAAACUCAUUAUUGGGAAUUCAACACGUUGUGUCCUAACGUAUUAGAUGUGACUAUUGAUUUCUCGAAAUGAAGAUUUUUUUUAAAAAAAUCAUGAAGGAAAUAUUCCGAGUUUGAGAUUCUAAAGGAAUUGUGCCCUAACGUAUUGGGUGUGAUUUCUUAAAUCUUGGAUAAGUGGAUGUUCUUUUAAAGUAAAGGAAAUAUUCCGAGUUUGGGAUUCUAAAGGGGUCGUGCCCUAACGUAUUGGGUGUGAUUUCUUAAAUCUUGGAUGAGUGGAUGUUCUUUUAAAGUUUUAUUGCAUAAGUAUUCUGACCUAAUUCAUUUUGGAGGAAAUUAGAAUGUUGUGCCCUAACGUAUUGGGUGUGGCAUUUUUGCUUCUUUGAAUUGAAAAGGGUUUUAAUAUGCAACGUUUUAAGUUUUUUUUAAAAGAUUAUAUUUUUAUAAUUUUCGACCUUAAGAAUCUAAUUAAUUAACUAGGUACCAAUUUUUGGGCGUAGUGAGGGUGCUAAUCCUUCCUCAUACGUAACCGACUCCCGGACUCGUUUUUCUAAAAUUCGUAAACCAAAGUCGUUUUAGGUGACCCAAUCACACCUUAAUAAAAGAUUGGUGGCGACUCCCGAAUUUUCAUUUUUUUAAAGUCGACAACCUAAAAUUUUUGGUUUUUCAAAAAAAUGGUUUCGACAGGGGGGUUGGGAGGAGAGGGGAGUAAAAGUUUUGGCGGGAAGUGGGAAGGAGUAAAAGUUUUGAGGGAAAAAUAAAAAGGUUUGGGAGUUUGGGGUAAAAAUGUAAAAUAUUAUAGUUUGAUAUUCGAAUUAUUCGAAUUAUUCGAGUUAUUCGAAUUGGAAAACUCAACUCGAUUCGAACUCGAAAUUCAAAAAAAAAAUUCGAGUUGAAUCGAAUAACUCGAAUAACUCUAUUCGUUUAACUCGAAAUUCGAAUUUUUUUCAAUUUUUUCGAGUCGAAUCGAGUUUUGCUCACCCCUAGUUACAAGUAGUUAUUCAUAGAAAAGACGGUGUACCUUAGAGGGUUGUUUCACAUGACCGCAAUCGCACCACCCCAACCCAAUUAGCUCUUACAACGUUAUAAAAAUCUCACUUUGUCGCCAUUUUCUUGCUCAAAGUUAGCAAAAGUUUAGUCGCCAUCAAGAAACUUAAAUUGACUUUGUGUUUGAGUCAGAUAACCAGAGCGGUGAAUUAGUAGUGUUUGAUACAGACCUCUAAUGUUACUGUUAGAAUUAAGUGAUCUAAAUUUUUAUUUAAAUAAAAUAAAGUGGUAAAAUAAAAUAAAAGUAAAAUUCCUAUAGAAAUAUACUUUUUUUUAUUUUAUUUUAGAAUAAUUUUUUUUAAAUCUUAUUAAAUUUCAUCUUUUUUAUAUUGAUUAGAAUAAGAUGUUUCAAUCGUACUAUACUCCUAUUAGAAUAUGGUUUUACAAGCUUAUAAAUAGAUAUAAUCUACCCCUGUUAUAAUUAUUCGAAUUCGACAUAGUGAAUUUUUUUCUCCUCUGCCCAUGAUUUUUUUCCCGAAAGGGUUUCUACGUAAAAAUCUAUUUUUUCUUUAUUUUUAUUUCUCUUUUCUUUGUGAUAUAUUGUCAUUACCGAUCUUCUAUUUUUACAAAUUGAUAUCCGAGCUUCAGGGUUGUUCAUCUUAAUCAUGGUAAUGACGUCUUUAAAGUAUGAAAUUCUGUUGUUGGAUCGUAACACCAGAUUCGCGUUAUGGCAGAUAAAGAUGCAGGCAGUUCUUGCAUAGAUGGACUUAGAGGAAGCCUUGCUAGGGGUAAAUAAGAUGCUUUCGACAUUGACAGAGGAAGAGAAGAAGCGUAAUGAUCGAAAGGCGUUAACACAGUUACAUCUGCAUUUGUCUAACGAAAUUUUAUAGGAUGUGAUGGAGGAGAAGACUGUCGCAGGAUUAUGGAAGAGGUUGGAACAAAUAUUUAUGUCGAAAACUCUAACCAGUAAGCUGCAUAUGAAGCAACGUCUUUAUGUUAAUCAUUUGGAGAAAGGUGCGUCUGUGCACGAACACUUAAUAGUGUUUAAAGAAAUUCUCUCAAACUUGGAGGCCAUGGAGGUUCAGUAUGAUAAGGAAGAGUUAGGGUUGAUUCUACUUUAUUCGUUGCCCUCGUCUUAUUCAACCUUUAGAGACACGAUUUUAUAUAGCCAUAAGUCUCUCAUAGUUGAUGAGGUUUAUGAUUCUUUGACCUCGUAUAAUAAGAUUAAGCAUCUUGUGGUUAAAACCGACUCUCAAGUAGAGGGUCACAUUGUUCGUGGGAGAUAAGAUCGAAAUGCUGAUGAUAAUCGUGAAAGGACACAGGAAUGGAAUCCUCGCGGUAAAUCUAAAGGUAGAUCGAAGUCUUCAAAUAGAGGUAAAAUUUGUAACUUUUGCAAGAAAAAAUGGCAUAUUAAAUCUGAGUGCUAUAAGCUACAGAAUAAGAUCAAAAUAGAGGUUGCGAAUCAAAAGGGAAAAUAACCAGAAAAUUUUAGUGAAGCUGAUGUUGUAGAAGACUACAACGAUGGUGAACUUCUAGUCAUUUCUGUCAACAAUUCUAAAGUGAGCGAAGAGUGGAUCAUUGAUUCGAGCUGCACCUUCCACAUGAAUCCCAAUCGGGAUUGGUUUACAACUUAUGAAACAGUGUCUGAAUAUGUUAUUUUGAUGGGAAAUAAUGCUUCGUGUAAAACCGCAGGUGUUGGAACAAUUAAAGUUAAGAUGUUCGAUGGAGUUGUUAGAACACCUAGUAACGUACGACAUGUUACAGAAUUGAAGAGAAAUUUAAUUUCGUCGAGUACUCUUGAUUUAAAAGGGUACAAAUACACAGCUGAAAGUGGGUUUUGAAGAUUUUCAAAGGUUCCCUCGUUGUGAUGAAAGGGCAGAGAAAGACUGCCAAGUUAUAUGUUCUGCAGGGUUCUACUGUUACUGGUGAUGUAGCUGUCGCGUCCUUUUUUCUUGUCAGAUGAUGAUAUUACUAAACUUUGGCAUAUGCGCCUAGGGCAUAUGAGUGAGAAUGACAUGGCAAAAUUGAGCAAAAGAGGACUUCUUGAUGGACAAGGAAUUUGCAAACUGAAGUUCUUUAAGCCCCGCGUUUUUGAGAAGCAAAAGAGAUUUCGAUUCACCAGAGGAAUCCAUAACACGAAUGGAACGUUGGAGUAUAUUCAUUCUGAUCUGUGGGGGCCAUCCAGAGUGCCUUCGAGAGGUGAAGCUAAUUACAUGCUAACUUUUAUAGAUGAUUUUUCGAGAAAAGUUUAGGCGUUCUUCCUAAAGCAAAAAAGUGAUGUGUUUUCCGCAUUUAAGUCUUAGAAAACUAUGAUUGAAAAAUAGACGGAAAAACAAAUAAAGUACCUCCGCACAGACAAUGACUUAGUGUUAUAUUCUGAUGAGUUUAAUAAAUUGUAGAAGUCAGAAGGGAUCAUAAGACACUUGACAGUUCAUCAUACUCUACAGUAAACGACGUUGCAGAACGAAUGAACAGAACUAUCAUGAAGAGUGUUCGAUGUAUGUUGUCAAAUGCCAACUUACCAAAGUCAUUUUGGGCCGAAGCAGCCUCUAUUGCAUAUUUUUUGAUCAACCGGUCUCCAUCUGUUGCCAUUUAGAAAAAGACUCCACAAGAGGUAUGGUCUGGUAAUCUUGUUGACUUUUCUGAUUUAAAGAUCUUUGGGUGUCCUGCGUAUGCUCAUGUUGAUAAUGGAAAAUUGGAAUCGAGAUCCAUUAAAUGUGUUUUUCUUAAUUAUAAAGCUGGUGUAAAAAGGUAUAAGUUACGGUGUCCUGAAAAUAGAAAAGUUGUGAUUAGCAGAGAUGUUGUUUUUUUAUGAAAUUGCUAUGCUACCUAACUUAUCUCUUAAAGGCUCUUCCAAUAAAGCAAAUCAAAAGUAGGUGGAACAUCAGAUUAAUCUAGAAUCUACAACAGAGUCGACUCCUCAAGCCAGUACAAAAAUUUAGAAUAGAGUUGCUUCUUCACCACAAUACUCUAUCGCCAAAAACAGAACUAGGAGAGAAAUUAAACCUCCAAAGAAGUAUGCUGAGGCUGAUCUAGUUGCUUAUGCUUUAAAUGUGGCUGAAGAUAUAGAUGCAAACCAAGAACCAUCUAAUUAUUCUGAGGCGGUUAGCUGUGAAGACUCAGAGAAGUUGAUAUUUUCUAUGCAAGAGGAGAUGGAAUCACUCCACAAAAACAAAACAUGAGAUCUUGUGAAACUUCCUAAAGGUAAAAAGGUUGUUCAUUGUAAAUAGGUGUUUAAAAAGAAAGAGGGGACUCCAGGAGUUGAAGAACCCAGAUAUAAAGUAAGGCUUGUUGCAAAGGGUUACAGUUAAAUUCCAAGAGUUGACUUCACAAAUAUGUUCUCCCUAGUUGUGAAACACAGUUCGAUUCGAGCUUUGUUUGGUAUUGUGGCCAUGCAUGAUUUGGAGCUUGAGCAGUUAGAUGUAAAAACUGUAUUUUUGCAUGGAAAACUUGAGGAGGAUAUUUACAUGCAACAACCAAAGGGUUUUAUAGUCUCAAAAAAUGAGGACUAUGUUUGCUUGCUGAAAAAGUCCCUUUACGGUUUGAAACAGUCACCAAGACAGUGGUACAAAAGGUUUGAUUCCUUUAUGACUUCUCAUGAUUUCAAAAGAAAUAACUUUGGCAGUUGUGUUUACUUUAAGAAAAACAGUGAUGGUUCUUUUGUGUAUCUACUCCUUUAUAUUGAUGACAUUUUGAUAGCAGUGAAAGAUAAAUGAGAGAUAAGAAAGGUUAAAGCCCAACUAAGUGAAGAAUUUGAGAUGAAAGAUUUGGGACCAAUAAAGAAGAUACUUGGUAUGAAGAUUCUUAAAGAUAGAAAAGCAAGUGAAUUGUACCUAACUUAGAAGGGGUACAUUGAAAAAGUUCUUUGCAGGUUCAAUUAGAGUGCUAAGCCUGUUAGUACUCCUUUAAUAGCCCAUUUCAAACUUUCAUCGGCUUUGUCUCCAUAAUUAGAUGAUGAGAUUGAGUAUAUGUCACAUGUUCCAUACUCUAGUGCAAUGGGAUCUCUCAUGUAUGCUAUGGUUUGUUCAAGUCCAGAUUAAUCAUAUGCAGUCAGUACAGUUAGCAGAUACAUGGCGAAUCUCGGUAAAGAACAUUGGAAAGCAGUUCAGUGGAUUUUAAGAUACUUACGAGGUACUACUGAUGUUUGCUUACAGUUUGGAAGAAUUAGAGAUGGAGUCAUUAUAACACCCCUAACCCGUAUCCGUCACUAGAACAGGGUUAUGGAGCAUUACCGGACCUAUCGGACAAUUUACAAUUAAUAUGAAAACCAACACAUUUUCACAUUCAAACCUAUUUAAAACAUGCCUUUCAUAAGUAAAUACUCAUCAUAUACCAAAUGACCAAAUUGUCAUCUUGAACCAUCACCAAAACCUUUAUAAAAAAGGCUCAAGCCUAUACAUGCCAUAGAACCUAUCGAAAUCAUUUAAAAAAAAAAGAAUAGUCAUCGACUUAAAAAAGAUUGGAGUCGCCACCGAUAUUUCAUUGAAGUGUGAUCGGAUCACCUUGAAAACGAUUUUGGUCUACGAAUUUUAAAAAACGGGUUCGGGAGUCAGUUACGUACGAGGAAGGAUUAGCACCCUCGUAAUGCCCAAAAUUGGUACCUAAUCGAUUAAUCAAUGUCUUAAUGUCGAAAAAUUGAAAAUUCAAAAAAAAAUUUAAAAUACGAUCCUUUGUUAAAAUAUCUAAAAAAAUUCAAGAAAGGGGCACAUUUCACGUCAAUCGAGAAAGAGAAUCAUGUCCCGUAAGUUAGGACACAAUAUCUUGAAUUUCUGAUACGAGAAUAAAUGCUAAAAAAUUUACGUAUUUGAAAGAUAUUCGAUUCUCUAGGUUUUAAAAAAAAAAACCAUAUUCCGUAGGUUAGAACAUAAUCUUAUUAAUUCCCGAGAUAAUUUAAAAAAUAUGUUUUUGAAAAAUGAUUCGUAUAUUCGGAUUUAUCGAAAAAUCGAAAUCCUGUAAGUUAGGGGUCGAUUUUCUCGAAUUCCGAGGGUAUGAAAUAUUGUAUUUGUUUUUAAAAAAAUGUAUUUUUACAAAUUUGGAUAAAAAUGUUCGAUGUUCGAAAUAUUACAUGCAUGAAAUAUUGCACUAAUAAAUAACAGUAACGAAUAAUAAUAAAGGCAAUUUACGAGAAUUAUAUUAUAUGCACUAUUUUACAAUAAUAUGAACAAUCAAGGAAUAACAAUAAUAAUAGAACCAAAGCAUGCAAAUAAGAGGGAAAAAAACACUAAAAAAAUCCAAGUAAAUAAAAUAAAUAUAUAAAAGAUUUAAAAAAGGUUUAUGAAAAUAUUGAAAGUAAUGAUCUAAAUUACAACAUAAGUGAGAUUUAAAUAAAUAAUUUAGAGUAAAAUAUGUAAAUAAGUGAAAUAAUGAAAGCAAUAAAUUAAUAAUAAUAAUAAUAAUAAUAAUAAUAAUAAUAAUAAUAAUAAUAAUAAUAAUGAAGUUCACGAAUAAAAAUAAAACAAAACAAAAUAAAAGAAAGAUUAAACAUAAAAAUCACGAUGAAAUAAUAAAAAUAAAAGAGUAAAUAAAUAAAAUAAAUAAAACACAAUACAAAAUUAGAGGUGCUCAUGGGCUGGGCCGGGUUCGGCCCGGACCCAUAAAAAAUUUCAGCCCAUUUCUUAGGCCCGGGCCCGACCCAAAAUAUGGGCCUGAUAUUUUGCCUAGGCCCGGCCCGUGAAAAAAAUAUGAAGCCCGGGCCCAGGCCAUUUUUUUAAUGUGUUACAAAUUAAAUGUAUAUUUAUAACAGUACACUAAAAUUUAAAAGUUAAAACAUUAUAUUAAAACAAUAUAAUUAUAACAGUAUAUUAUAACAAUAUAUUAAAACCAUAUAUUAAAAAAGUAUAUUAAAACAAUAUAACCGAACUCAUAUAUAUUAAAACAAAUAUAAGCUUCUCGCCAUUUCCAACAUGUUGCAGAGGCUAUCACAACAUCUCGGGCACCUCGAAGCCGAGACAAAAUGUUUCCAAUGACUUCAACUGGUAGGUGCUCCAUUGUCAAUAAAGAUAAAAAAAGCCUCAAAUCUACAAAUUGGGUUUUCUGAAGAUACUCAGCUAGAUAUAAUCAAACACAAAUUCUUCACAAAUCACAACUCAACAAAAUAAAGUUGACAUGGAAUUGAAUUAUUGAAAUCAUUGCCCAAGUAUUCUUUCCCAGUAGUGAAAAAAGUUCUGUGAUAAAACAAACAAAAAAAACAAAAAAAUCACUCAAAAACAUGAGUUUUAGUUAGAUCUUCAAACAGAUUUCACAUCCAAAUAAAGCAAAAUUUAUGCGUCAAAUAGAAGAGAAAAAAGGGUUUGCAAGGGAGAUUUAAGCAACACAAUCUCUCAGCAGUUUCCAACUAAAUAAAGGUCUAAAAUGAAUCUUCAAGUAAAGGAUCAAAGUCAAAAUCAAGCACUAUCCCGGUUCUUAAAAAUAUAUGCUUUUUAGGAGCUAAAAUCAAUUCAGUGAUUCAGAAAGUAGAAUAAUCCCAGAAUUGAAAGUACCUAACUACCUAUAAAUCCAAAGCCAAAAAAUAAUAAUAAUAAUAAAAUCAAAAUUGAAGUUUUAGCAUCUGGGCUUUCAACAAAUAUCUGAAAUUAUACAUCAAAUGAAAAAUAAUCCAACCAAAAUCCGCAAGCUAACCUAUGACAUCCAAUAGCAGAGACAGAAAGAAGGAUAACUACUGAAGCAUAGGAGAACCAAUAUUGAUAAGAACAUCACUUAAGCUAUUUCUGUAAUAGCAAUAAUAGUAUGUAGACAGAAGAAUUCCUACUAGAAAAGCAGGUCACAAGCAAGAAAAGAACGGAUACAUCAAAUGAAAUUAUACAUCUACGGUCACAAGCAAGUGAGGGAAUUGAUUCGAAUAAAAAUGAAAAUCAAAAAGCACAAAGCAAAAAACAAAUUCAAAGGUUAACAGCAAACUCACCUUUGAGAAGACGAAGAAGGCUAGAAGCAGUGAAGCACCGUGGAGUCGUGGACGUGGAGUCGUGAAUCGGUGGAGGUGGAGUUGGAUCCGAUUUGGGGGAAAAAAGGGAGGGAAGGGGUUAGGGAUUUAUCUGGGGUCGGGGGGAAAUGGGGAAGGGAAGGGAAAUGGGAAAUGUAUUAAUGACAAAAUAAAAAAUAAAAAAAUAUAUUAAUUAAAUUCGGGCCGGGCCCCGGGCCAAAAAAUUUUUACCCGAGGCCCGGCCCGUUUUUAAAACAGGCCUAAUUUCUUACCCAAACCCAUAUUUCGGGCCUAUAUUUUUACCCGAACCCUCCCAUAUUUCGGGCAGGCCGUCGGGCCGGGCCGGGCCGCCCGGCCCAUGAGCACCUCUACACAAAAUAAAAUUAAAACCAAGACAGAGACAAAAAGAGGCUAAAUUGUUAUUGGAAUAAAAUUAAAAGCUAAAAAAUAAAUUUUUGAAUACAAUUGGGGCUAAAAUUAUAAACAAAUAAGUGCAAAAGGACUAAAUUGAAAUUUAAUAAAAAACGGGGUAAAAAUCGAAAGUAAAAAUAAAGGAAAGGGCCCAAUUGAAAAGGGCGCAUAACUCAGAGGGACCAAAUGGGGAAAUAUCCCCGCCCUCUAAAAUGCACCAUUUCGUCAGGAUUAAAUCGAAAAAAGAAUAAAUUUUGAAGUAUCAAUUGAAAAAUAAAGAAAAACUGAAUUAAAAUAAUCAAAAUAUGCGGAAGGACUAAAUGCACAAAUUGCCCAUUAAUAAAAAAAAAACACACGAAUUCUCCCCGGGUAAGGUCAACACGCGGGUUAAGGCUCAAAACGACGCCGUUUUGGGGCUAUGGAGGCCAGCCCUAAAUGACGUCGUUUCAUGGGCUUAUAAAAGUCAAUUUUUUUUAAAAAAAACUGGAUUCUUCCUCAUUUCAAAAAAAAACACUAAAACCCCUAAAAUUUCUCUCAACCUUCCUUUUAGCCGGUCGAACUCCUGUCGUCGGUCAUCGUGUCGGCCACCGGUUGCCGGUGAAGGUGCCGCUGUCCCCGGUGGUUGAAAAAUCAAAAGGAACCCAUUUUUUUGGGCUUUUCAACUCCCUUGGCCUAAAAACGUUGUUUUUCAUUGGAAACGACGAACCUCGGCCUCAAGAUGACGCAAAACACAAAUAAAAGGUAAGUUUUUAUUAUUUAUUAUUUAUUUUUGAAAAGAUAAAAAAGAGUUAAAAAAAAAAGAAAGAAAAAUCACAUUUUCUUGAGUCUGUUAAUUUUUUGAUUUGAUUUUUCUAUUUUUCAUUCAUUCGUAAGUAAAAAAAUACAAAAAUCGGGGCCCUUUUUUAUAGCCCGAAAAUAUCCUCUUUUUCUAUUUUUCUGUUAGAUUCUCCUCGUUUAUUCGUUUUGCAGGUACAAGGCCGUUAGCCAGCUGGUGUACGGAGCGGCACAUGCGGGGGAGGCGGCGGCUAGGGUUUUCCCUUCUUUUUUGCUGCUAAAAAUGUUUAGUUUUUGGGCCAUAUCGGGCCACUAGGGUUUUUUGGUUAUUAGGCUAAUUGGGUUUGUAAAAAAGAGUUGAGUUUUGUAUUUAUUAUUUUUGGUGUUUUAUUAUUUGGGUUUGGGUUAUUUGCUUAGUUGGGCUCAAGCAAAAUGGGUUGUUACAGAACCAAUAUCACAAAGCUUAUAAAUACCAAACCAUAGUUGGAUAGUGUGAUGAGAUCUCUGACGACUUCCAACCCGAGCAAGCCUCCGAAACUCUAUAAACAUAGGAAAGAAAACAAAGUAAGCUAUAAAGCUUAGUAAGCUCGUAUGGAAAUAAACUCAUGUUAUUAAAUAACCGAAUUUAAAACAAUUAUUCAAAAUAUGAUAUAAUUCAUAUGAUUGCACCAUUCUAUUUCAAAUUCAUGCACAUAGUUAAUCCAAAUUUUCAUGAGUUUAUUCAUUCAAAACACGUAUAGUUUGAAUACUUCUUAUCAAUUCUUUCGCAUUUUUAUAUGCGUAAGCAAUUAUAUAUAUACUUUAUUAAAUUCAAUAUUCAUCACCUUUUCUUUAGCCAAGUGAAUUAUCAUCAAAUAACGAUAUUUUGCACACCAUGUGCCAUAUGUAUAUUUAGUUAAAACAACUAUAACUCAUAUCUCACAUAUCAUCUAUACAAUUCACAUAGAUCACAUUUCAAUUCAUUCUCAAUCAUAUAAUCGGUAACAGUAUAAUACCUGUUGAACCUAAUGAAACAUCGAAGGAUACUCGGGUGAUACACAUUAUGUGCAUUAAUCGGUAAUCCAUCAAUUCAUUAUCAUUUUCGCUCUUUCGAACUAUGAUCGGUAAGCUCAUUCCGAGUUGAAGAACGGUAAGCUUUAUCGAGCUAAAACGGUAAGCUCAUAAGAUCUGAUAUAUCGGUAAGCUCAUACGAGCUGUGGUGAGUCUGCCACAAAUGUAGGAGCUCGAACAAAAAGGUAACCCUAGUGACAUGUCACUCGUAUCCUACGAUUUUCUAUAGUUCAAACGGGACUCGGUAUUACUCAAUACAUUUCAAAUUAAGCAAUUCAAUAUCGUUUAUUUCAACCAUUCAAUUCAUAUAUAUAUCCAUAUUCAGUUUGUAAUAGCCCGAUUUUGACCCUAAUCGGAACAGUGGUUUCGGGACCACACAUCUGAGUUUGAAAAAUAUUUUAAUAUUUUUAUUCUGUGUUUAUUAUGUGUGAAUUUACAUGUGUGAAAGUUUCGUGAGUUAAUUUUAUUGUUUGAGUGCUUAAUUUGAGAAAAGGGGCUUAAUCGCGUAAAAUGAAAAUUUGAUGGUUAAUUAAGAAAAUGCCUAAUUGUUGUUGUCUUUAUAAGUUGGAGGCCUUAUGUUGUAAUUUAGCCAAUAAUAAUAGGUAGUGGAUGGCAUAAUGAUGAUAUGUGAUUUAUAUAUAUAAAUAAAAGUUAAAAUAAUAAUAAUAUAAUAAUAUAUGUUAUAAUAAAACAAAACAUUAAAAAAGCCACCAUUUUUUAUGUUCAUCUUUCUUCACCGAAUGUAGAAAAGAAAAACAAGGUUUGAAAGCUUGAAACAUUCGGCCAUUUUGAAGCUUAAUUCAAUGUUGGUUUUUGUUCGGUUUUUGAUAAAUUUUACGUUUUGAGAUCGUUGCUUUGAAUACUUCAAAACCCAUGUCUUAAUUUUGUGAAUUGUUGAUGAUUUUGAUAAAUGCCAUUGAUGAAUGCUUGAAAUUUGUGAUAGUUGAUGACGAAAUAUGAAAGAUAUGUGAAAGAUUAACAUGUUUCGUCUUUGAAUUUUUGAUGAAUUUGAGUAAUUAGGGUUAAAUUGUAAAAAUAAAAUUUUGAGGGACUAAAAUAUGAAAUAAAUGAUAUGUGUGGGCUUGUAUGGACACUAGGAAUAUUUGGCCCUUAAGUGUAGUCAAAUUUUGUGUAUUUUGUGUUUUGAGCAAAAAGGACUAAAUUGUAAAAAGUGUGAAAUAUUAGGGGGAAAAUUGUAAUUUGCCUAUUAAUGUGUUUUUAGGCUAAAUUGAAUAGAAUGGUGUUUAAAUAAGCUUAAUUUGAAUAUGCUUAGAUCAAGAAUUAAAGAAAUCGGAUUUGGAUCGGGGAAAUACAAAAGUGGUCGAGUAGCCGAUUUAGAGGUAAGUCAAUAAGCAUUUAAAUGUUGAACUAACUAUGGUAUAUAUAUUUGUUAUGCAUUGAAAUGAAUUAUUUGAAGUUAUAUAAGCUAGUGCCGAAUGUAAUAUUGUGAAUUGAUUAUAUUCCGAGAAUGAUAUAAAUUAGAUGUGAAUUAUGUGAAAGACCGAUUUUGUAAGUUCAGGCUUUAUGCCUAGCAGGCUUUAUGCCGGUGAAUUAUAUCAGGCUUUAUGCCUAGCAAGCUCUGUGCCGGUGAAUUAUAUCAAACUUUAUGUCUAGCAGGCUUUGUGCCGGUGAAAUGUAUCGGGCUUUGUGCCUAGCAGGCUUUAUGCCAGUGUUUUAUACAAGGCUCUAUGUUCUAUAAAUCUUAUGUGAGCAAUAGUAAAAACAAAUAAAUGUGUUAAGAAAGCUAAAUUAUUCAGGUAUGUGUUAGCCAUUUGCUUAAUUGAUGAUAAGGUAAGUUGGUUAUUUUUAAUUGAUAAUAGUUUCAAAUGAAAUACAGAGUAUGAGUUAACCAUUUGAGUAUAAGCAUGUUUUGGCAUAAUGAUUUAUUGAAUAUUCGGUUUUGCUAAAUAUUUAUGUGUAAUAGGCCAUAUGAUUUGUUUAUAUGAAAAUACAAUGUGAUCUUUAUUCAAGUGUUAUAUGGUACAAAAUAUUAGGAUAUUUGGUUUAUUUAACUUAAUGAUGGAAUAAGUAUUAAUAUAUAUACAUAUAUGAAUUUUUGCUUAUGACUUACUAAGCUUUAAUAGCUUAAUGUGUGUUUGUAUUUGUUUACUUCUGUUUUAUAGAUUUUGGAGUCGCAUUACGAGCUCGGGGAUCGUCAGCAUAGUCUAUCACACUAUCAACCGUCUUUGGUAUUUUAUAAAUUUGAAUUUUGAACCUAUGACAUGUAUAGUCUAGUUAAUAUGUUUAAUUUUGGGAUAUGUGAAUAUGAGCCAUGCGAAAAUGGUUUAUUCAUUUUGGUUAAGCUUGGUUUUAUGUUUUUGAUCUAUUGAUAUAUAUAUAUAUAUAUAUAUAUAUAUAUAUAUAUAUGAUGUUUAAGUUUAUGCAAAUUUCGGUUAUAUAUAUAGAAGUGUAAUGUGUUUAGCAUAAUUGUUAAUAGUUGUAUAAAUUAGUUAUAUUUAAGCCUAUUUUGGAAGUAAUAUGUGUAUUAUAUGUAUAUGAUGUAAUUAUGUAGAUGUUGCCUAUUUGUUGUAUAUAUGCUGUUAAAUUUUGGUGUAAAAAUGCUGCUCAAUUUGGUACGUAUAUGCUGCCCAUUUGUUGUAUAUAUGCUGUUAAAUUUUGGUGUAAAAAUGCUGCUCAAUUUGGUAUGUAUAUGCUGCCCAUUUGUUGUAUAUAUGCUGUUAAAUUUUGGUGUAAAAGUGCUGUUAAAUUUGGUAUGUAUAUGCUGCCCAUUUGUUGUAUAUAAGCUGUCCAAAUUUUGGUGUAUAAAUGCUGUUUAAUUUGGUAUAUAAAUGCUGUCCAAAUUGAUGUAUAAGAGCUGUCCAAACAAGGUAGAUUAUCUAUAUUGUAAUAUGUAGUAUAGUUAGCAAAUUUAAAUGAAAUAAAUGUGUACAAAUAAAUGUUUGGAUACAUGCUUGAUUUAUGAUAUAUAUAAUCAUUUAGGUUUGGAAAUGUUUUAAGAAUUUGAAUUAUAUCAAAUUUUGAUUAGGUAAAUGAUAAUGAUAUGGUUGAAUUUUGAAACAUAGUUGAUAUAUGUAAUUUGAUUAAUGAUGCAUGUUUGAUUUUAAUUGAUUAUGUGCUUAAAUAUAUAUAUAUAUAUAUAUAUUUGGGAGGAAAUUUUGUGGUUGAGUUAGUAUAAUAAAAAAUCAGGUUGGGUUUUGAUCGGUAAUGCCUCGUAACUCUAAUCCGGCGACGGACACGAGUCGGGUUGUUACACAGUUCAUACAAUUGCAAUUAAAUGAAAGUUCAAUUCUAAUUAUACGAACUUACCACAUUGCAUAAUUUAAGCAAUUAAAUCAAUAUGUCCAACUCGAAUAUUCAAAUGCCUAUCAUACAUACACCUCAAUAGGUUAGAGUCUCAAAUAUGCAUAUAACCAACAUUUCAUCCAUGAAUGCUUCAAUUUGGCAUUCAACUCACAUAACAUUUCAUUCAUACAUUUCAUGAAAAUUCAUUUCCAUUUCUAUACAUCCUCAUAACACAUAUCAUAUUUCAUAUACAUGAUACACUAAGAACUUACCAAAUUACCUUCAUUUGAUUCUCAUUUAGGUUUUGUACGUAUCUGUAUCACUUAAUUCGAUUGUACUUUCAUUCUCAUAUUGACUUUGCCCGUUGAACCAUUCGAAAUCGUUAAGGAUACUCAGAAAUCAUAAUAGAUCAUACAAUGUCAUAUCCCAGAUAUAGUCUUACAUGUUAUCACAAAUCGAUGCCACUGUCCCAGACAGGGUCUUAUACGAAAUCAUAUAACGAUGCCAAUGUCCCAGACAUGGUUUUACACGUAAUCACAAUACAAUGCCAAUGUCCCAGACAUGGUCUUACAUGUUAUAACCUCUCAGUAAUCCUAAUGUCAUGACAUUUGUAUCAUAUGAGGCUUUUGGACGUCGUAACUCCUUCGAUUUCGGCUCGUAUUCAUGACCAUUCAUCAUUCAAUUCAAUUCAAUAAUAAUUAAGCAUUUAUAACACAAUUUAAACACGUUAUUAGCAUACGAACUUACCUCUUUCGCUGUAACGACGAAUUAGGUCGACUAAUCAUACUUUAUUUUCCCUCAUUCUAUAUCCGAUUCUCAUUUUUCUCAAUCUAUAUAAUAGCAAAAUUUUCUUAUUUAAUCAUUAAUCCAUUCAAUUUAACACAAUUUAUACAUUUUGGAAAAAUUACACUUUUGCCCCUAUUAUUUAACAUUUUUGCAAUUUAGUCCUUAUCACAUAAAAUCAUAAUUUCAUGCAAUUUCAUCCUAGCCAUGCUUAGCUGAAUUCUUAUUAUUGCCUUAUCAGCCCACAUUUUCCAAAUAAUCACACUUUUAACCACAUAAUUUCAAUAUUUCAUAAUUUAAUCCCUAAUUAGCAUUUUUAUCAAAAAAUCACUUUAUAAAAUAUGAAAGUCUAACAUUAAAUAUUCAUAUUUCACCAUUAAACAUCAAAGAACACAUAAGCUCAUCAAUGGAAACUAUCAAAAUCUUUAAUAGUUUUGAAAUCGAAGACACGAGCUAGCUAGUACUAGUUGCGACGAUCUAAAAAACGUAGAAAUCAUUAAAAGCAUAUCAGAAUCCAUACCUAUUUGAGAAAAAAAUACGAUGGCCGAAAGUCAAGCUCAUCCAUGGUUGUUUCAAACUCCAUUUUCGAUUGUAAAUUGGAUGAAAGAAGAUGAUAAUUAACUUUGUUUUAUUUAUUUUAUCUUUUAUUAUCAAAUACCAAAAUUAACCUUUAAAAACAUUAGUAACUACACCAAAUGCCACUCCACUAUCAUCCACUAACUCAUAAAUGAGCUAUUUGCCACAUAAGAACCUUUACUUUAAAGUUCUUUAGCUAUUUGACACCUUUAGCUUAUAGAACACAACUUUUGCACUUUACGCGAUUUAAUCCUUUUUAUCAAAUUAAGCACCCAAAUGAUAAAAUUUCUUCACGAAAUUUUUAUACAAUCAUAAUAUCAUACUGUAAUUAUUAAAAUAAUAAUAAAAUAAAUUUUUUGGCAUCAGAUUCAUGGUCUCAAAACCACUGUUCUGAUUUCACAAAAAAAAACUGGCUGUUACAGUCAUUGGGUAUGUUGAUGCUGAUUUUGCUGGAGACCUUGAUAAAAUAAGAUCUCUUACAGGUUAUGUUUUUAUAAUCGAAGGUUGUGCAAUUAGUUGGAAAGUCACUUUGCAAACUAUAGUCGCUUUAUCUACCACUAAAGCUGAGUACAUGGCGAUUACUGAGGCUUGUAAAGAAGCUAUUUGGUUGAAGGGACUCUUUAGUGAACUCAAUGAAGACCUUCAAAUCAAUACAGUAUUUUGUGAAAGUCAAAGUGUCAUCUUCCUUACAAAAGAUCAAAUGUUUCAUGAAAGAACAAAACACAUUGAUGUUCGUGAUAUUAUUGCUCGUGGUGAUAUUGUUGUAAGUAAAAGUAAUACUCAUGAAAAUCUUGUAGAUAUGAUGACUAAGUCACCUCCUAUAGCCAAGUUUGAGCAUUGCUUAGACUUGAUUGGUGUUCAUUGUUGAAGUUAAACCCUUAAAGGGUUUUAUGGAAGAGGUGGAGAACUUAUUCGUUGAUAGUUCGAGAUGAAGAACUUGUUAAUUGAGAAUUUGUGUCAAGGUAGAGAUUGUUAGAAUUAAGUGACCCGAAUCCUUAUUUAAAUAAAAUACAACGGUAAAUAAAAUAAAAGUAAAAUCCCUAUAGAACUACACUUCUUUUAUUUUAUUUUAUUUUAUUUUAGAAUAAGGUUUAAAAACCUUAUUAAACUCCAUCUAUUUGAUAUUGAUUAGAAUAAGGUGUUUCAAUCUUACUACACUCCUAUUAGAAUAUAGUUUUACAAGCCUAUAAAUAGACAUAAUCUACUCUUGUAAUUAUUCGAAUUUGACAUAGUGAAUUUUCUUCUCCUCUACCCGUGGUUUUUCCCCAAAAGGGUUUCCACGUAAAAAUUUGUGUGUUCUUUAUUUUUAUUUCUCUUUUCUUUGCGAUAUAUUGUCAUUACUGAUAUUCUAUUUUUACAGUUCCAAUGCCAAGUGAGAGGGUUGGUAAAGAAAAGUGCCUCAACCCUAUCUCACAAACAAUAACAUCAUUUGCCCAAGUCCUACCUUCCACCCUAAUACCACCCAACUCACAACCCUUGCUCAAAAACAAGAACGUCAUCAUCAACAUUCAACAGCAAAGUUAUCAGAAAAAAAUAGAAAUAGCAAAAUUUCUAUUCGCAUUUAUCACUGGUGACAGACCAUCGUGCUCACUCACAGCUUCAGGAUUUUCGUUCUCUCUCACAUCAACAGAUUCUUGGCGGCCUGUAAAGUUUCCCAGUAUUCCGGUGGGUUACAUUGACAGUGUUAUUGAACUCAUGCGCCAGUAGUUAAAGCAUAUUGGGUAUCAAUGUUUUCCCUUUCGGGGGAAUCUCCAUCAUCAUUGUCUGAAAGUCUUAUUUUUUGAAGGUGAAACCAGGAGCACUCCCUUCUCAUCUAUUCCUCCUCUCUCUUUCUCUUGUUGGCACUCGAUCCUUCAUUGAUUUGAAAUUCCCUAAACCAUCCAACACUCUUACCUCUCUAGUUUCAGCCUGAACCGCAGCAUGGCCUUCAGUCUUGGCACUUCUUCUUUGAAUUGCACCUUUUCCGGUUCCUUUAACAUCCUUAUAUGACACUUGUUUCUUCAAACAUGUUGAAACUAGGACUGGAUCAAUCAUUUUUCAUGCUUGUUUAUUCCUCCCAGGCAACUAGUGAACUAAAAGAGAAAACGACCCCCAACGUCAAAGGAAAAUGCCACCCACCUAUAGUCCCCAUCACAAUAGAAUCAGGAAAUAAAUGCUUUAUUAUGUUCAAAUCAAUAAAUUAUAACGCAAGAUUUAGUUGAUAGAAAAUUAACAAAAAACGGCAGCUUACGGUUUCGUAGAAGAUAAUGCCACUGUUUUAUACAAGACAAAGAUGCAAAUCUGGUAAUUAACAACCCUAACUUGCAUACAUUCACAUUUUGAUUACAGAACUGUUUGAUUUCUUCUCCCUACAUGUGUGUUUUAUAUAUGGGAUAACAUAAAAUUCUGGCUUAAGCUGUAGUGUUAGCAUUGAUAAUUUGAUUUUGAUUGGGACAUAAACAUGAACAAGGAAGUGACCUGUCUAAGUAGAACCAAACAUUUCUUUUACUUGACAUUAAUUUCAAAUUCCAUCCUUAAAUAACCUUAUCUUUAUCCUUAAAAAAAUCAUUACAGAAGCAAAAUUUAAAAAUUUUCUUAAGCAAUACUAAAGCAAGUGAAUGAUUCAUGCCAUUUCCCAUUUUUACAAAUAUUAAGGAGGGUCUUUACUCUUUAGCCUUGAGGUUGCAAAUAUUAUAUAUAGUUUGCCAUUUCUAAACCCACUUUGUCAAUCUUUUCCACCGUUAACUAUAGAUAUUCAAUGCCAUAUGGUAGGUUUGACUUGCCUUUACUUACUCUUUGGACCAUUAGUCGGGACCACUAGAGACAAUUAAAGGGACAUCUAAUGUUGCAAACUUCUAUUUUAACAUCCAUGCAUUAACCUGGUACUAAACUGUAAUAUUUUAAAACUUAUUAAAUACUAAAACAAAACGCAGGCAUUAAAAUGGAAAAAAACUUUACGUACCAAAUUGAAUAUCGAACUUAAAUUCAAGUAUGAAAUAGGAUAUUAACCUUAUAAUUAACAUAAAAUGACAAGGUCAAUUAGGUAUGGUGCGUAUAAAUCACGCGAGGGUUUUCUUUCCCAUUUCCUUUGUAGUGCCCAAUAAUAAAGCCGGGAACAUCUAUGUCUUAACACAGAGUUUGGCAAGCGAGAGUAACAAAAUCCGAAGGGAAUCCCAAUUUCUUCGCUUUUCAUCUUCUCUCGCUUCCAUUUCUCCGUUUUUUCCCCUCCGGCAAUGGCUAUCGAUUCUGAUUCUUUCAAACAAUCACUUCUCCCUAGCUUCCUUUACUCUUCUGCUCCCAACUCUUUCUCUCUGGAUCGGCUCAUCAACGCCAACAGCCCUGCUUUCUCUGCUUCACGCUCCACUAUACCCGGUGCCCCCGCGGCCUCUUCCUCGCCGUCGAUCAAGGCGAGAACUUUCAUGAUCCCCUCCCCCAAUGAGCCCGGGAAGAAGAUUGAGAUGUAUUCGCCUCAGUUCUACGCUGCUUGUACCUUUGGCGGUAUCCUUAGCUGUGGUCUCACUCACAUGGCCGUUACUCCUCUUGACCUCGUCAAGUGUAAUAUGCAGGUUUACAGAUCUGGCUCUCUUCUUUUUUUUAUCCUUCUAUUGUUUAUUUUUGCUAGUUUUUUAAGAUUAGAUCUGAGAUAAGCUUGUCGUUCGCUUGAGAAUUUUGAUUGACAAGUUGUUUGCUUAUGAGAUCCGUGCCUACUUUUUACUGCUUCAGUUCCAGAACUAAAAUCACUGUCUGUCGGUUUUAUUGAUGAUCAAGGCUUCUGUCCCUUCGACUUUGGUACCUUGUAUUUCAAGUUUUGCUUUUUAGGAUGUCAUUUAUAGGAAUACGGAACUAUUUAGGAGUAUAACUUCGGUUGCAAUUGAGAUUUGAUUUUUUUUUUGGUUCAAAUCUCUCAAUUGUUAACUUGUGUUAGAUCCUUGUUGUUGGAAAGUCUGGUUGUGGAGAAGGAAUGGAGGUCCAUAUGGUGGAUGAGAGGUAGUAGGAUUAGUGUUUAUGUGCUGUGGAAGUGAUUUAAUGGAGUAACAUUAUAUGAAGUAUCUUAGGGAAGAAGGUGAUGAAAUUGGGUUAUUUUUAUCCUUUAAGAUAGGGUCUUGUGUGGGAAGCUCAGUGUUGUCGAUGGCGCAAGGUGCUAGGUGCUUGAGUUAUUAAAUUGCCUCAGGCGCAAGUUGCAGAAAGCACAAUAUGUAUGUUGGUUUUCCUGUGUCUAUAUAUGGAGUGGAAGAUAUAAUAAAGUCUAAAGUUGAAUACUCAAAUAUUGAGAAGUAUGUAGUUUAAGACUAUCCAUUUCUUACUAGUAGGUAAGUCUAAUGAAAGGAAGUGAAUUUUUUUUUUUAAAGAUAACUUUAUUAAGGCUUUUUAUUCAUUUUAUUUUAUGCCCAUUGCCUUAAAAAAAGCAUACUUAGAUGGACAAACACCCACCUGAUUAAAUGGGCUUGCCUGAAAGGGUUUGAUUAAAUGGACUUGCCCAAAAGGGUUUGAUUAAAUGGGUCGUUGUUUGUUUAGUGCUAAGGUGCAUGCACACCUAAGCCUCCGCUUUCUCAAAACUGGGGAAGCUGCUUGUCAUGUAGGGCUUCGAUACGUGCUCUUGGAUGUGAAGGUUGGAUUGCUAAUCGGUCCCACUUGGGUCCCAAUGUGAUUGGCAAGUGUCUUAAGUGUAAUGCCUUGUCUCAAGAGAAUCAGCCACUAUAAUCUUAUGAUUAGACCUUUACUUAGAAAGGUAUCAGAUCCUCAUUAUACUUGGUGUGGGGUUGACCUUCAUUUGUUCCAGGUGAGAUAUCGGGUUUGUCCCUUAGGCGAGGUUUUGGUGGUUUUCAGCCUUUUUAGUCCUAGGCCCAAACAUAAUUUCCUCGAAAUUAAUUUUAUGCAUCAUGUUAUUUACUGGUACAGUAGUACCUAAACGCACUCGUAGUUGUAUAUCUUUUAUUGUUUGUAGACAGAUUUCUGAGUUUCACUGGGUAGCUUUGUUAGAUGAGUACUUGGUUUUGUUUGUUGCUGUUAAUCUAGUUUAUUUUCUAUUGUAAUGGUUAACAUUUAAAGCACCUGAUGACUUUUUAUCCUACAUAAGACACAAAUUUUAUAGAACAGCUAAUGUUACUUUCUUGAUUUAGUUUUAUGUAACCUGUAAUUAAUAAGGUGAAUGAUCUAAGUUGAUGACAUAAGGACUGUUUUGCCAGAUUGACCCUGCAAAGUACAAAAGUAUCUCAUCUGGUUUCGGAGUUCUACUAAAGGAGCAAGGAGUGAGGGGCUUCUUCCGUGGUUGGGUUCCUACCCUUCUUGGUUACAGCGCACAGGGUGCUUGCAAGUUUGGAUUCUAUGAGUUCUUCAAGAAGUACUAUUCUGACCUUGCUGGACCUGAAUAUUUUGCCAAGUACAAGACUCUCAUCUAUCUUGCCGGCUCUGCAUCUGCUGAGGUGAUUGCUGAUGUUGCACUUUGCCCCUUUGAGGCAGUCAAGGUCAGGGUUCAAACCCAGCCUGGUUUUGCUAGGG